This is a non-coding RNA of Enterococcus villorum ATCC 700913, 182 nucleotides long. NCBI's taxonomy places the organism in Bacteria, Bacillati, Bacillota, Bacilli, Lactobacillales, Enterococcaceae. The record is from Rfam.
UGAGCCUUGCUUUAUAAUGUAAUUGUAGAAAAGUGGAAAGAUGGUGGCUAAUCUCUUGAAAAAGGGGUGAUGCCUAUGGUUUAUAGCUUUAUCCCUAGAAAGGAAUAGCGUGUGUCAACUUUUGAAGCAAUUCAGCUGAUGAUCGCUUUUGCGACAUUAGUCUUGCUGAUAAUUGACCAUAA